CGCGUAGGCGGUCUGUUGCGUCAGGUGUGAAAGCCCUGGGCUCAACCCGGGAGGUGCACUUGAUACGGGCAGACUUGAAUCCGAGAGAGGAUGGUGGAAUUCCCAGUGUAGAGGUGAAAUUCGUAGAUAUUGGGAAGAACACCGAUGGCGAAGGCAGCCAUCUGGCUCGGUAUUGACGCUGAGGCGCGAAAGCGUGGGGAGCAAACA
RNAcentral lists this ribosomal RNA (207 nucleotides) under uncultured bacterium. RNAcentral describes it as "partial 16S ribosomal RNA". It matches the Rfam family "Bacterial small subunit ribosomal RNA", at positions 568 to 774 of the family's 1533-position model. The record is from RNAcentral.